This is a long non-coding RNA of Chiroxiphia lanceolata (lance-tailed manakin), 322 nucleotides long. RefSeq lists it as uncharacterized. NCBI's taxonomy places the organism in Eukaryota, Metazoa, Chordata, Aves, Passeriformes, Pipridae. The transcript is spliced from 2 exons. The record is from RefSeq and is a predicted model, not a curated record.
UGGCAAUAUGACAAUUACUUUGUGAAAAAGAACCAUGACAACAUGGAGAAUAAUGCAUGAUGCUGGACAACUGCCGAAGACUAAAUACCUUAUGAUGAGAACAGUACCUUUAUAAUCAAUGGCAAAUCCUGACAUUCCAACAGAAGCAUCACUGCGAAAAGCCAGAAACAGACUGUUACCACUGCUCUCUAUUCUUUCAGGAGCAUGUGAGCCUUGAAAACUGCCAAUUAGAGGACUGUUGGAAUCUUCUCCUUCAUAAAUAUGUAGAAAAUCAUAACUGGGUUCCAUAUUGAAACUGAAAAUAAAGGGAAAAGAGAAUUAA